UGUAAGCGUAUACCAAAGUUGUUGCAGUUAAAACGCUCGUAGUCGGAAUUUGGCAGUUCCGGAUGUGUGCACGUCGUGUGCGCACUUCGCGGGGAUUGCUUUUGUGGUCUUGCGUAGGAUGAGGCACUUUUAUUAGUGAACGUCCUCACGCAACCACUUUUUACUGUGAGAAAAUCAGAGUGCUCAAAGCAGGCAUUUGCCGUGAAUGUAUUAGCAUGGAAUAAUAGAAUAGGACUUGGUUCUAUUUUGUUGGUUUGUUGGGACUGAGUAAUGAUUAAGAGGGACAGUUGGGGGCAUUUGUAUUUCGGUGCUAGAGGUGAAAUUCUUAGAUUGCCGAAAGACAAACUGCUGUGAAAGCGUCUGCCAAGGAUGUUUUCAUUGA
RNAcentral lists this ribosomal RNA (382 nucleotides) under uncultured eukaryote. Its description in RNAcentral is "partial 18S ribosomal RNA". It matches the Rfam family "Eukaryotic small subunit ribosomal RNA", at positions 592 to 976 of the family's 1831-position model. The record is from RNAcentral.